This 253-nucleotide ribosomal RNA is filed under the name uncultured bacterium. Its description in RNAcentral is "partial 16S ribosomal RNA". It matches the Rfam family "Bacterial small subunit ribosomal RNA", at positions 524 to 776 of the family's 1533-position model. The record is from RNAcentral.
UACGUAGGGUGCAAGCGUUGUCCGGAAUUAUUGGGCGUAAAGAGCUCGUAGGCGGUCUGUCGCGUCGGCUGUGAAAUCCCGAGGCUCAACCUCGGGUCUGCAGUCGAUACGGGCAAACUUGAGUGUUGCAGGGAAGACUGGAAUUCCUGGUGUAGCGGUGAAAUGCGCAGAUAUCAGGAGGAACACCGGUGGCGAAGGCGGGUCUCUGGGCCGAUACUGACGCUGAGGAGCGAAAGCGUGGGGAGCGAACAGG